GACGAACGCUGGCGGCGUGCUUAACACAUGCAAGUCGAACGCUGAAGCACCAGUUUGCUGGUGUGGAUGAGUGGCGAACGGGUGAGUAAUACGUGAGUAACCUGCCCUUGACUCUGGGAUAAGCCCUGGAAACUGGGUCUAAUACUGGAUGCUACAUGUCACCGCAUGGUGGUGUGUGGAAAGGGUUUACUGGUCUUGGGUGGGCUCACGGCCUAUCAGCUUGUUGGUGGGGUAAUGGCUCACCAAGGCGACGACGGGUAGCCGGCCUGAGAGGGUGACCGGCCACACUGGGACUGAGACACGGCCCAGACUCCGACGGGAGGCAGCAGUGGGGAAUAUUGCACAAUGGGCGAAAGCCUGAUGCAGAGACGCCGCGUGAGGGAUGACGGCCUUCGGGUUGGAAACCUCUUUCAGCAGGGAAGAAGCAACAAGUGACGGUACCUGCAGAAGAAGCGCCGGCUAACUACGUG
This 470-nucleotide ribosomal RNA is filed under the name uncultured bacterium. RNAcentral describes it as "partial 16S ribosomal RNA". It matches the Rfam family "Bacterial small subunit ribosomal RNA", at positions 28 to 507 of the family's 1533-position model. The record is from RNAcentral.